Molecule: RNA transcript, 1978 nt
Organism: Oncorhynchus tshawytscha (Chinook salmon)
Lineage: Eukaryota; Metazoa; Chordata; Actinopteri; Salmoniformes; Salmonidae
Gene name: B-cell receptor CD22-like
Exons: 8
Source: RefSeq, a predicted model, not a curated record
GAGUGCAUGAGCAGUAAGGAAGGAGGAAAUAAAGAGAGCUCGUUCAGCUCUUUGGGAAGGGGCUCUUGGGUGGCGCGACAGAUUGAUUGUGUGUGCUGUGUUGCAGAAGUUUUGUUUGUUUUCAGCGUUUGUAGUUUAUAAAGUAUUUAACUCAAUCAUCGGUGUGACAGUUCCAGGUCGUGGUUGUUUUCGUUUGGGAUCGCGCCAGUUAUGGAUCGCAUGGAUUAGUAGCAACCUUGUUGCGAAGCUUUAAUAUACAUACCAACGGACGGUCAGACAGUACACCGGCACGCCCGAAGACCACAGCUAAGAUCUCUCUUGUUCUCUUUCUCUCUUUCUCUUCCCUCUAUCGUUCCAGUGCUUUACCCUGUAACAGACUCUCUAUUUUUCAAAUGCACUUCCCAUUGAAGUUCAUUAGAGGUGGACUAUUAUUGCCAUGCCAGAAGUAUUUGGGUGGACAUCUUAGUUAAAAGGGAGGUUGCUUGCAAGUUGUGUAUUAUGUGAACUGUAUUGAGGUGGGGUGUACUAAUGACAUGUGGCCGAGAAGAUUUUGGACAUUUUUAAGGCCUUUGGUGUCUAUGAACACCCCCCACAUUCAUACCCUCUGCACUCCUCCACUGGAAGAUAAUACAGAUUACUGCAAAUCCUCUGUUGAUGACUGGGUUCUUUCUUGUAUGAAGUUGCUCUGCCAUAAUGAAUAUUAUUAUUGUAUGAGGUAUUCUUGUUGGGGUUACCCCUGUGCUGUGAUGUGGGUUUUAUAUGGUGUGUAUUCUCUUUUCUCUCCACUGGCUAUCUGGUAAACAGGCUACACUCUAGGCAGUCUCUUCUGCUGAUGUGUGUGGGUCUGGUAGUGUUACUCUCUCUAUUCUACUCUUUUCGGCAUGGUUAAUACCUGCCUGGCGCCCGAACAAAAUUUUUCGUUACCCCUCAAAUAAAUACCGCUACAACUGGACUCCUCUUUCAACAUGGGUGCUGGAGCUCAACACUCCAACCUGGUAAUCGUCCUGCUCAUGACUACAGGGCUCCGUGUUGAUUUGACCCCUGACCUAGUUGUGGACGGUGAGUGGGCCGUCCUGACCUGUGGCUCCUGCUUCAUGAGCGAGAAUCACACCUACAACUGGUACAGGGACACAACCUUUGACCUAUACCAACAAGGUCAAGGUUAUGGCCAACUACCUGGAACUAGACCCGGUAGGCAGGGAGGAUUCAGACAGCUACUCCUGUGUGGUGAGCGGCAGAGAGGAUUCCCCUGGUCCGGCAGUGAUCACUUGACUCUGCACCUGUGCAUCUCAGUAUAGCAGAGGGAGGGGUUCUCAGGUUUUAACCUUCCAACGCAGUCACAUCCUCACCAUAUUUCACACUACACGGUCAAUUUAUCAUAGAAGAUUGAGACGUGAGAGAAAGAAAUGUGGUGCAUUUGCUUCAAAGGGAGGAGAGAAGAUGGGGACACUACCACUUUCUCGAAAGAGAGUUUGUCUUGUGGAAGAAAAAAGGGAGACACUGAAGGGAGGAUAGCAGAGGACAACCGUCUCAUUGGUGGAGAAAUGCCCUGUCAACAAAAACCAACCUACAAUCCCCAGUCUACCAUCACAGUGCAGGGUGGAAGCAUUGUAAUUGCCCCAGAGAUCAACUCCACAGUAGGAGGUGACAUCAACAUCAACAUUGGAACAAAGAUUUACUGUCAGGGCCCAGGUCUGGCAGGAUCUGUGCAGAAGAUGGGUGCUGCUGUAGGCCCUCUUUGGUUGGGAACAGAAGUACCAGAUCAGCAGCAAACAGACAUUUGGCUUCAGAUUCUAGUAGGGUGAGGCCAGUGAGGUGUCCAUGUGACCUGUCCCCAGUGUGAAGAGAUCCAGAACACAUUGGGGAACACUGUCAUCCAGCUGUUAAUAAAUCAUUGACAAUAAUUCUCUAAUUCGUUUCAUGUUGUUACAUCAAGGAGAGAACAAACAUUCAAUAAAAUUCACAAGUUGAUUUAAAA